Neofelis nebulosa (Clouded leopard) is the source of this 584-nucleotide long non-coding RNA. RefSeq lists it as uncharacterized. NCBI's taxonomy places the organism in Eukaryota, Metazoa, Chordata, Mammalia, Carnivora, Felidae. The record is from RefSeq and is a predicted model, not a curated record. The transcript has 5 exons.
GGUGCUGUCGCGCUUCUGGGUCAAAUCUGAGGCUGGUCCCGUUUCCGUGAGAGUUUUUGGUUUUGCUGAGGGUGGUAUUGUAAAGGCCUGCCUUCCCCACAUGAAGUCUCAGUAACUCUGAAGAGCAAAGUGAGAAGAGGGCAGUGUUACACUGGGAGAAACCACUUGGAGAUGUGCCAGAUUUCCCCACGUCUCCUGGUAUUAGUUCCUGGUUUGUUCCUUAAUGUGAAUGAAAACCAUUUUGAGCAGACGGAAGAGCAAUACCGGAAGGCUGGGAUUCUGAGUUUCACCUAGAACGGAGAAGCCAGGACUUGGGAUUUUCCCCUCAAUCACCAUGCUGUGCUGAUGUGAGGAGCUCUGGGAAAUUAACCAACUGGCGGAGAAGCAACAGAUCUGAAUGCAUGGGGGAAAAACCCAGUUGCUCAAGCCUGUCAAAAUGUAUAUCGAAAAAUUUUCAUCAACUCGCUUUGAAACAUAUUCUCUAACCUAAACCCAGUGUCAGUGGACUGUGGCAGGUGUUCCACAUGGUAGUUUAAGAAUGUCUGUGGGAGACAUGGAAGUAAUUCAAACAAAAGAGGGCCUUU